This 339-nucleotide ribosomal RNA is filed under the name Triticum aestivum (bread wheat). RNAcentral's name for it is "partial small subunit ribosomal RNA". Lineage: Eukaryota; Viridiplantae; Streptophyta; Magnoliopsida; Poales; Poaceae. The record is from RNAcentral.
UUAUACUUGCAUCUUAUUAAAUCAGAUGUUGGUUUUUCAUAGAAAUUCUUAUGGAAAGUAAAAGUGCCUGCAAAAAUUAAGUUUUUCCUAUGGCUUCUGAAUAAAAAGAGCAUUAUAACUAGAGACAAUUUACUGAAGAGGGGCUGGAAGGGAGACAAACACUGUGUACUGUGUGGGAAAGAGGAGAAUAUUGAUCACCUCUUCUCCUGCUCUGUUGCUAGGCUCAUUUGGAGCCUGGUUGGGUGUGCUUCUGAUCUUAAACUUAUUCCAAAAGAUCUGAAUGAUUGUUUUGGAAUUUGGUUGAAAAAUUCAGCAAAAAUGAUAAGAAACCGGUAUUGA